GAGGGGAUAAUCCCCCUCGAGUGUCAACUGGUAUGCACGCGCGUCCCCCUAUGGGAAGUAAGCGUCAUGUUCUUAAUAGCGUUUUAGGGGUAAGGUGUGGGAGUAAAAGUAUUCCCCCUUUGGGUUCAUUCGUUUAUAAAUGAUGUAUCUCCUCGGGGUUUUCUCCCCUCACUCCCCCAGCGAACGCAAUUACCUUCCGCCUAGGGAUAAGGGCGGAAGGCCUAAAUACAAAGAAUCCGCGGGAACCCGCACAAGCGGUGGAGCAUGGGUUUAAUUCGAGGAAAUGGGAGGACCUUACCUACCCUUGCCAUCAUCAGAUCCUGCUCAAAAGUUUGAGUGCCCGCAAGGGAAGGUUAAGACAGGUGCUGCAUGGCUGUCGUCAGUUCGUGUCGUGAGAUGUUGGGUUAAGUCCCGCAACGAGCGCAACCCUCGCCUUUAGUUGCUCCGCAAGGAGAUCUCUAGAGGGACCGCCAGUGAUAAGCUGGAGGAAGGUGGGGAUGACGUCAAGUCCUCAUGGCCUUUAUGUCUGGGGCUACACACGUGCUACAAUGGCGAGUACAAAGCGUUGCCAACCCGCGAGGGGGAGCUAAUCGCAUAAAACUCGUCUCAGUUCGGAUCGGAGUCUGCAACUCGGCUCCGUGAAGUCGGAAUCGCUAGUAAUCGCAGAUCAGCACGCUGCGGUGAAUACGUUCCCGGGCCUUGUACACACCGCCCGUCACACCAUGGGAGUCAAUUGCUCCAGAAGUCACCACAACACGGUGGUGCCCAAGGAGUGAUUGGUAACUGGGGUGAAGUCGUAACAAGGUAA
RNAcentral lists this ribosomal RNA (808 nucleotides) under uncultured delta proteobacterium. RNAcentral describes it as "bacterial SSU rRNA". The stretch from base 202 to 808 matches the Rfam family "Bacterial small subunit ribosomal RNA", at positions 875 to 1499 of the family's 1533-position model. The record is from RNAcentral. Lineage: Bacteria; Deltaproteobacteria.